CCGGAAUAGCUCAGUUGGUAGAGCAGAGGACUGAA
RNAcentral lists this transfer RNA (35 nucleotides) under Leskeodon auratus. RNAcentral describes it as "partial tRNA-Phe". RNAcentral also lists the same sequence under 1 other name. Lineage: Eukaryota; Viridiplantae; Streptophyta; Bryopsida; Hookeriales; Daltoniaceae. The record is from RNAcentral.